ACUUUCGAAGCACUCCGUUCAUUGUUGUUCCUUCUGUAAAGAGUGGGCCCAUAAUCCUGGUCCUAUGGUGAUGAACGGGUGUCCCGCUCCGCUGGUCUUCCACUUUUGGGCGGUCUUCUUGAAGGAGAAGCACAUCUCGUCGCCUGCGGGCAAUGUGCGUGUACCGCCAUCUUGCGAAUAUUCGUAGAGAAGACUCUCAAAUGCCGGAUGUGAAUCCUCAGAGAACUCAGGUUGACUGCCACUCAAGGAGUAGUGCCUUGUCGGCUCUAGAUGUGAAUGGUCUCUCGCUAUGCGUAUCUCCAGAUCUUGCCUAAGAACCGGGGUAUUUCCUCGUUACGGACACAGCUUGAGCCUGGCUGUACGUGAAGUAUAAUACCCGUGAUGGCUAUCCAGUUUGUUUUUCCACACGUUAUGCUGUGCCAGUCAAUGCAAAUAAAUAUGCUGUAGCGUGAAGUCGUGUGACUGCGUCCAGGGACCGAAGAACGGAAAAGUACAGAGGGAUUUCGUCGCACGUUCCGGCUUCGCGAUGCAAUGUCAAGUAUAGUACUAGAGCACCGAACUCAAUUCCGUCAUGCACACAAGAGCUCCAGUCGUAUAGCUACGGUGUCUUUGUCUUUCGUAUAUUCCCUGAAGUCGACAACGGUCACAUCGCAGACCAUGGAACGACCAUUCUGUAUCGUGCGUCUGUUGGGGCAUGUACGCACUACGUUUCUUUCCGUAGAAAUAAGUGCUGGAGGGAUGCGAUAGGUGAGUUCAGUCGCGGUUUGAAUACUGCAACAAUCACGCGCGUACUGAACACAGAUAAAGUGGUGCAAUUCAAUUUUCCCGUGUUCGCGGCGGAUUCUCGUAUCUCACA
RNAcentral lists this long non-coding RNA (856 nucleotides) under Toxoplasma gondii VEG. Lineage: Eukaryota; Apicomplexa; Conoidasida; Eucoccidiorida; Sarcocystidae. The record is from RNAcentral.